UAUGGCAUAUUAUCAUAUAUGAACUUAAUAUUAGCACAGUACAAAUAUAAAAUUUAAAGGAAAAAUUGUCAAAUACAACCCAACAAACUUAACACUUUACGAAUUAUAGACCUAAACUUUAUACCCCACUUUAAAUUACAACCCCGAUUCACUUUCCAUCGAAAACAACCGGAAAGUGAUGUCAUUUAACAAUUAUAAAUAAUUUUCAAGAAAAAAACAUUUGCCUGUAAUUUCCCCCAAUUACACAACAAUGGUUCAUCAUCAUCAAACAUGACGCAUUAUCAUAAAGAAAAAUUCCCAGUAAUUUUCCCCAAUUAUACAACAAGGGAUCAUCAUUAUCAAACAUCACGUCAUCACGCAUCAUCAAAACUUGGUCUUUGAAAGAUGCAGGGGCACGAAACGCCGGAGGAGGAGAAGGAAGAGGGGUAAGUUGGGUUGGGCGGAGGUGGUUUCAUUCUGGGCGUUGGCGGAACUGAGUGGUUCGCGGCGAAGGAGGAGAAGAGGAUGGUCGGUUGUGGCGGGGCCAUGGGUGGGAUAGUGGUGGUGGUAGAGGAGGCGAAGGCCGUAAGGUUGUCUGUUGUUGCUGAUGAUUUUGUUAAUGGUGGAUUUAGUGAUGGUGAUUGUAAUGAUGAAUAACAAAUGAUAAUAACGACUUUGAUGAUGAUGAUGAUGAUGAUGAUGAGAACUUAGAACGGAGUGAAGUGAAUGAACUGCAAGAGUUUUGAUGAUAACGAUAAGUAGCUGUUGGUCACGGUUGACUAUAAAAGCCCCUUUGCUGAAUGGUUCUUGAAAUUUGUCAUUCGAAGCUCUGAUACAACACUCAAUCCACAAAGGUUGUACUACAAGUGUGAUCCUUGAAACAAUCUGAGAUGGUGAAAGGGAGUAGUUGAGCAAAAAAACAAGGGGCAACAACACGAAGGACAAUGCGGGGGAAGCUUAGACGAAGGAGAAAGUAUUGAAAACAGGCGAAACAGUAAGAUGCAAGAAGAAUUGAAGCAAAUGAAGAAGAAGCUAAAACAACAACAAAAAGUAGUCAAAGUUGUAAUACAAAUGGGGAUAUUGAUGUUUGUAAUUUUACUGUUUGUAAUCAUGAAGUAAACACAAGUAAUGAGAAACAAAUUCACAUUUCAUAAAUAA
Molecule: long non-coding RNA, 1137 nt
Organism: Spinacia oleracea (spinach)
Lineage: Eukaryota; Viridiplantae; Streptophyta; Magnoliopsida; Caryophyllales; Amaranthaceae
Exons: 3
Source: RefSeq, a predicted model, not a curated record